RNAcentral lists this long non-coding RNA (813 nucleotides) under Chinchilla lanigera (long-tailed chinchilla). RNAcentral's name for it is "lncRNA (ENSCLAG00000022880.1)". The record is from RNAcentral. Lineage: Eukaryota; Metazoa; Chordata; Mammalia; Rodentia; Chinchillidae.
CUGAUGAUUGCCCAGGAAGCCUAACAUGGUUUUCUCUACUUUUUUAGAUGCAGAAAUAGAGACUUACAGAGGCUGAAUAAUUUGCCAGAGAUCAUCGUGCUUGUGACUCUCAGGACUGGGGUUGGAACCCGGUGGUGGGGCUCCAGAGUGGGAGGCGCCAGUUGGCCAUGGACAAGUGUCAGGUGUGGCAUUGGCCAGUGAGCCGCUCCAGCUGGGGAGACCGCGCCUCUGCCUGAGAUCCAGGAUUAUCUUUAAAGGGGCUAGGCAGUUAUGGUUCGUCUUUCUUCGGUCACUAAUGUUGUGGGAGCUGUUCCUGCUUCCCACCCUUACUACGCAGCGCUUGAGUGGCAGGAAGUUUUACACUGAGGAGCUCCUCCAUCUCACUAGAAGCUGUGGCCACUCACAUGUUGUUCAGAGCCCUGGUGUGGGUUAACCCUGGACUGAAGACGUCUCCCAUUCUCUGGAGAUUUCUUCUCUGCAACUGGCCUCCCUUGCCAGUCCCCAAUCAUUUUAAAUCUGGAAGCCAUGUUGUUUUUCACUCCAUCAGCGAAAGCAUGUAGCCAGUGAGAAUUGCUACACAAACCGGAGUUCCCUGGAAGAGGCCUUUAUUCUCAGAGCCUGAGAUUGUGUUGGCUGGAAGCAGGAACCUGUUGAAUACAUAAAAACAAAACAAAAGAAAACAAAAGCACAGUUGUCUGGCAUGGCUGUGUUGUUGGCUGGUGCGAAAACUGAAAUCCUCCUGGGCUACAUCUUCUUUUGCUACGUUGGCCUCAUUUCUGUAGGAGGAACAUGUGUGGAGCAGUCAGAUGAGGC